ACGAGGCGCAGCAGGCGCGAAACCUCCGCAAUACACGAAAGUGUGACGGGGUUACCCAAAGUGUUCAAUUUUGAACUGUGGUAGGUGAGUAAUGUUCCCUACUAGAAAGGAGAGGGCAAGGCUGGUGCCAGCCGCCGCGGUAACAUGAGCCGUGUCAGUGCCGUAGGGAAACCGUUAAGU
This 180-nucleotide ribosomal RNA is filed under the name uncultured crenarchaeote. Its description in RNAcentral is "partial 16S ribosomal RNA". It matches the Rfam family "Archaeal small subunit ribosomal RNA", at positions 325 to 496 of the family's 1478-position model. Lineage: Archaea; Thermoproteati; Thermoproteota. The record is from RNAcentral.